UGGGAAUCUCUUCUUCCUGUUGGAUUGU
Molecule: non-coding RNA, 28 nt
Filed under: Rattus norvegicus (Norway rat)
Lineage: Eukaryota; Metazoa; Chordata; Mammalia; Rodentia; Muridae
Source: RNAcentral